This 253-nucleotide ribosomal RNA is filed under the name uncultured bacterium. RNAcentral's name for it is "partial 16S ribosomal RNA". It matches the Rfam family "Bacterial small subunit ribosomal RNA", at positions 524 to 776 of the family's 1533-position model. The record is from RNAcentral.
UACAGAGGUCUCAAGCGUUGUUCGGAUUCAUUGGGCGUAAAGGGUGCGUAGGCGGCGCGGUAAGUCGGGUGUGAAAUCUCGGAGCUUAACUCCGAAACUGCAUUCGAUACUGCCGUGCUUGAGGACUGUAGAGGCAGAUGGAAUUCCGGGCGUAGCGGUGGAAUGCGUAGAGAUCCGGAAGAACACCGGUGGCGAAGGCGGGCUGCUGGGCAGUAGCUGACACUGAGGCGCGACAGCGUGGGGAGCAAACAGG